This 643-nucleotide ribosomal RNA is filed under the name uncultured Methanosarcinales archaeon. Its description in RNAcentral is "bacterial SSU rRNA". It matches the Rfam family "Archaeal small subunit ribosomal RNA", at positions 401 to 1046 of the family's 1478-position model. Lineage: Archaea; Methanobacteriati; Methanobacteriota; Methanomicrobia; Methanosarcinales. The record is from RNAcentral.
UGUUGGCUGUCCGCAUGUAUAAAUCACAUGUGUCAGCAAGGGCCGGGCAAGACCGGUGCCAGCCGCCGCGGUAACACCGGCGGCCCGAGUGGUGGCCAUUAUUAUUGGGUCUAAAGGGUCCGUAGCCGGUUUGAUCAGUCUUCCGGGAAAUCUGACAGCUCAACUGUUAGGCUUCUGGGGGAUACUGUCAGACUUGGAACCGGGAGAGGUAAGAGGUACUACAGGGGUAGGAGUGAAAUCUUGUAAUCCUUGUGGGACCACCAGUGGCGAAGGCGUCUUACCAGAACGGGUUCGACGGUGAGGGACGAAAGCUGGGGGCACGAACCGGAUUAGAUACCCGGGUAGUCCCAGCCGUAAACGAUGCUCGCUAGGUGUCUGGGAUGGUGCGACCGUUUCAGGUGCCGCAGGGAAGCCGUGAAGCGAGCCACCUGGGAAGUACGGCCGCAAGGCUGAAACUUAAAGGAAUUGGCGGGGGAGCACUACAACGGGUGGAGCCUGCGGUUUAAUUGGACUCAACGCCGGAAAACUCACCUGGGGCGACAGCAAUAUGUAGGUCAGGCUGAAGGUCUUACCUGAAUCGCUGAGAGGAGGUGCAUGGCCGUCGUCAGUUCGUACUGUGAAGCAUAAUCGAAUUCCCGCGGCC